UUUUGUUCGGCGGUGAGUAGUGGAGUUUCACUGAUCUGUGGAAGUGGGGAAUACUUGACAAUUUUUAUAAUUUUAGCCGCAAGAAAUUAGAAGCUUUUUCAGUCUUAACUCUGGAUUAUGAACAUGUUUUAUAUGGUACUGGCUUUCCCCCAAAAUCCCUGUUGAGAAUCUGUGGGAAGUCUUCUCCAGGGACACUUGACUUCUACAGUCAGAGGUCAGGGAUACCUAUCAAGUCGCUUCAUAAGAGGCAGGUAAAGAAUGAAGCGUAUCUUGAACAGUACCUUGUUCUUCCACAGGAAGGAAAAGUCUAAGCUACAAGGCAAAAACACAAUCAAUAAGAAGAGCUCCAUGAGCAACCAGUAGCUGAAAAAGUCUUGAGAAUUUUCUAUUUAUUGUUAAGGAAAUAGCCAAUGGAAAUGAUAAAGGUGUUGUCAUCCUCAGAAUAAAGA
Sphaerodactylus townsendi is the source of this 449-nucleotide long non-coding RNA. RefSeq lists it as uncharacterized. The transcript is spliced from 3 exons. The record is from RefSeq and is a predicted model, not a curated record. NCBI's taxonomy places the organism in Eukaryota, Metazoa, Chordata, Lepidosauria, Squamata, Sphaerodactylidae.